This is a long non-coding RNA of Mya arenaria, 658 nucleotides long. RefSeq lists it as uncharacterized. The transcript has 3 exons. Lineage: Eukaryota; Metazoa; Mollusca; Bivalvia; Myida; Myidae. The record is from RefSeq and is a predicted model, not a curated record.
ACCAGAGUCCGUCAUAUACAUGCAUUGACAUUUCCUCGCCUUUUUAAAUAUUAUGGUAAAAAGGUGUUGUAAUGACACUUGUAAUUCGGAUACAAGGUAGCCAGACCGGCGUGGAAUUCGUUCCAUUUCCGAAACAAGCGAGAAAAAUGCAAUCGCUGGAUCAGACUCUGUGGAAGACAUCACCAACAGUUGAACUUCGAAAUUUUGAAAGAUCGUUCAAAGGCGAAACAUCUAUACGUCUGUAAAAAACACUUUGUCGACGGGAAACCCAGUCAAGUAAACCCUGACCCUCAAGCAGCUACUGUAUUGUUUGGUGUAUUUGACAAGCUUACACCGGGACCGGCCCACAUCAGCAAGACCUCAUCCAAAAAUCAGAUUUAUAUCUGAACCACCCCAAAAAAACAAGAACAGAACGGACUGAAGCUAACACCAUAGGUACAUCCUUCCAAGAAUCCAACAACACAACAUGCUGAACAACUUCAAGGACUCUCUUCAAAUGACCACUUUCCUGAAAUAAAUAAAAGAUGCCACUAUUAAAAUAAAUCAGUUACAUGUCUUGUUAAAUAUUUUAAUUCUGGCUGUAAAUGCUACUGCAUUUGAUGUUUGCUUUCUACAUGUAUAUAAUAAUGAAAUAUUGACAAGAAAAUAGCUAACUGUA